RNAcentral lists this ribosomal RNA (253 nucleotides) under uncultured bacterium. Its description in RNAcentral is "partial 16S ribosomal RNA". It matches the Rfam family "Bacterial small subunit ribosomal RNA", at positions 524 to 776 of the family's 1533-position model. The record is from RNAcentral.
UACGGGGGGGGUAAGCGUUGUUCGGAAUUACUGGGCGUAAAGGGCUCGUAGGCGGCCAACUAAGUCAGAGGUGAAAUCCCUCAGCUUAACUGGGGAACUGCGUCUGAUACUGGAUGGCUUGGAUUCGGGAGAGGAAUGCGGAAUUCCAGGUGUAGCGGUGAAAUGCGUAGAUAUCUGGAGGAACACCGGUGGCGAAGGCGGCAUUCUGGACCGACAUUGACGCUGAGGAGCGAAAGCCAGGGGAGCAAACGGG